This 253-nucleotide ribosomal RNA is filed under the name uncultured bacterium. Its description in RNAcentral is "partial 16S ribosomal RNA". It matches the Rfam family "Bacterial small subunit ribosomal RNA", at positions 524 to 776 of the family's 1533-position model. The record is from RNAcentral.
UACGUAGGGUGCGAGCGUUGUCCGGAAUUAUUGGGCGUAAAGAGCGUGUAGGCGGCCCGGUAAGUCCGCCGUGAAAAUCCAGGGCUCAACCCUGGAAUGCCGGUGGAAACUGCCGGGCUGGAGUCCGGAAGAGGCGAGUGGAAUUCCUGGUGUAGCGGUGAAAUGCGCAGAUAUCAGGAGGAACACCAAUGGCGAAGGCAGCUCGCUGGGACGGUACUGACGCUGAGACGCGAAAGCGUGGGGAGCAAACAGG